Molecule: ribosomal RNA, 446 nt
Filed under: uncultured bacterium
Lineage: Bacteria
Description: partial 16S ribosomal RNA
Rfam family: Bacterial small subunit ribosomal RNA
Source: RNAcentral
UCCAGACUCCUACGGGAGGCAGCAGUGGGGAAUAUUGCACAAUGGGGGAAACCCUGAUGCAGCGACGCCGCGUGAGCGAUGAAGUAUUUCGGUAUGUAAAGCUCUAUCAGCAGGGAAGAAAAUGACGGUACCUGACUAAGAAGCCCCGGCUAACUACGUGCCAGCAGCCGCGGUAAUACGUAGGGGGCAAGCGUUAUCCGGAUUUACUGGGUGUAAAGGGAGCGUAGGCGGCACGGCAAGCCUGAUGUGAAAGCCCGCGGCCCAACCGCGGGACUGCAUUUGGAACUGUGUAGCUGGAGUGUCGGAGAGGCAGGCGGAAUUCCUAGUGUAGCGGUGAAAUGCGUAGAUAUUAGGAGGAACACCAGUGGCGAAGGCGGCCUGCUGGACGAUGACUGACGUUGAGGCUCGAAAGCGUGGGGAGCAAACAGGAUUAGAUACCCCAGUAC